This 210-nucleotide ribosomal RNA is filed under the name Staphylococcus epidermidis. Its description in RNAcentral is "partial 23S ribosomal RNA". It matches the Rfam family "Bacterial large subunit ribosomal RNA", at positions 2713 to 2925 of the family's 2925-position model. The record is from RNAcentral. Lineage: Bacteria; Bacillati; Bacillota; Bacilli; Caryophanales; Staphylococcaceae.
UGUACCAGUUGUCGUGCCAACGGCAUAGCUGGGUAGCUAUGUAUGGACGGGAUAAGUGCUGAAAGCAUCUAAGCAUGAAGCCCCCCUCAAGAUGAGAUUUCCCAACUUCGGUUAUAAGAUCUCUCGAAGAUGACGAGGUUAAUAGGUUCGAGGUGGAAGCGUGGUGACACGUGGAGCUGACGAAUACUAAUCGAUCGAAGACUUAAUCAA